RNAcentral lists this ribosomal RNA (497 nucleotides) under uncultured bacterium. RNAcentral describes it as "partial 16S ribosomal RNA". It matches the Rfam family "Bacterial small subunit ribosomal RNA", at positions 28 to 507 of the family's 1533-position model. The record is from RNAcentral.
GACGAACGCUGGCGGCGUGCCUAAUACAUGCAAGUUGAGCGCUGAAGGUUGGUACUUGUACCGACUGGAUGAGCAGCGAACGGGUGAGUAACGCGUGGGGAAUCUGCCUUUGAGCGGGGGACAACAUUUGGAAACGAAUGCUAAUACCGCAUAAAAACUUUAAACACAAGUUUUAAGUUUGAAAGAUGCAAUUGCAUCACUCAAAGAUGAUCCCGCGUUGUAUUAGCUAGUUGGUGAGGUAAAGGCUCACCAAGGCGAUGAUACAUAGCCGACCUGAGAGGGUGAUCGGCCACAUUGGGACUGAGACACGGCCCAAACUCCUACGGGAGGCAGCAGUAGGGAAUCUUCGGCAAUGGACGAAAGUCUGACCGAGCAACGCCGCGUGAGUGAAGAAGGUUUUCGGAUCGUAAAAAUCUGUUGGUAGAGAAGAACGUUGGUGAGAGUGGAAAGCUCAUCAAGUGACGGUAACUACACAGAAAGGGACGGCUAACUACGUG